GUCCCCAGCGCCGCGGAUGCUGUCGGGCAGCGGCGGCCGCGGUGCCCGGCUCGCGGGGCCAUGGCGGCUCCGGACAGCUGCGUGAAGGUGGCCGUGAGGAUCCGUCCCCAACUGUCCAAAGAGAAAAUAGAGGGAUGUCACAUCUGCACCUCAGUGACACCCGGAGAGCCCCAAGUGCUACUGGGGAAGGACAAGGCCUUCACCUAUGACUUUGUCUUUGACCUGGACACGUGGCAGGAGCAGAUCUAUACAACGUGUGUUGGCAAGCUCAUUGAAGGCUGCUUUGAGGGCUACAAUGCCACCGUGCUGGCGUAUGGACAGACUGGUGCUGGGAAGACAUACACCAUGGGCACUGGCUUUGACGUGAACAUCUCUGAGGAAGAGCAGGGCAUCAUCCCACGGGCCAUCAGCCACCUCUUCAGCGGCAUUGAGGAGCGCAAGCGCGCAGCGCAGAGUCAGGGCAGGGCGGCUCCGGAGUUCAAAGUCAGUGCCCAGUUCCUGGAGCUCUACAAUGAAGAGAUCCUGGACCUGUUUGACAGCGCCCGUGACCCUGAUGUACGCCAUCGCAAAUCAAACAUCAAAAUCCAUGAGGAUGCCAGUGGAAGCAUUUACACUACAGGGGUUACAUCACGCCUCAUCAACUCACAGGAUGAGUUGAUCCAGUGCCUAAAGCAGGGAGCUCUUUCCCGCACCACGGCCAGCACCCAGAUGAAUGUGCAGAGCUCCCGGUCCCACGCCAUCUUCACCAUUCACCUCUGCCAGAUGAGAGUGUGCGCCCGCCCGGAGCUGGUGAAUAGGGAGGUGACCAGCCUCCUGGAUGGAUCCCAGCCCACCACAGAGUAUGAGACCCUCACUGCCAAGUUUCACUUUGUGGACCUGGCUGGCUCAGAGAGGCUGAAGCGAACAGGUGCUACCGGUGAGAGGGCCAAGGAAGGCAUCUCCAUCAACUGUGGACUGCUGGCCCUGGGGAAUGUCAUUAGUGCCCUCGGAGACCAGAGCAAGAAGGUUGUGCACGUGCCCUACCGUGACUCCAAGCUCACCCGCCUGCUGCAGGAUUCCCUUGGGGGCAACAGCCAAACCAUCAUGAUCGCGUGUGUGAGCCCCUCUGACCGGGACUUCAUGGAGACCCUGAACACGCUCAAGUAUGCCAACCGGGCCCGCAACAUCAAGAACAAGGUGGUGGUGAACCAGGACAAGACAAGUCAGCAGAUCAGUGCCCUGAGGGCCGAGAUCGCCCGCCUGCAGAUGGAGCUGAUGGAGUACAAGGCAGGUAAGCGGGUCAUUGGGGAGGAUGGCUCAGAAGGCUACAGCGACCUGUUCCGUGAGAACGCCAUGCUGCAGAAGGAGAACAGCACCCUGCGCAUGCGGGUGAAGGCCAUGCAAGAGGCCAUUGAUGCCAUCAACAGCAGGGUCACCCACCUCAUGAGCCAGGAGGCCAAUCUCAUGCUGGCUAGGGCAGGAGAUGGUAAUGAAGCUAUUGGCACCCUCAUCCAGAACUACAUCCGGGAGAUUGAAGAGCUGAGGACAAAGCUCCUGGAGAGUGAGUCCAUGAAUGAGUCCCUGCGUCGCAGCCUCUCACGCGUCUCUGCUCGGGCUCCUUAUUCCAUGGGCGCGUCCCCAGGCUCCAGCCUGACUGGGCUGUGUAGCCCUGCUGCACCGGUGGACACGGAGGCCUCCGAUGUCCUUCGGCGGGCCAAGCAGGACCUGGAGCGCCUCAAGAAGAAAGAAAGGAGGCAGCGGAGGAAGAGCCCAGAGAAGGAAGCAUUUAAGAAGAGGCAGAAACUGCAGCAGGACAAUGAGGAGGAGACUGAUGAGAACGAGGUGGAAGAGGAGGAAGAGGAGCAGGAUGAGAGUGGCUGUGAGGAGGAGGAUGGACGUGAGGAUGAAGACGAGGAUUCGGGCAGUGAAGAGAGCCUGGUGGACUCGGACUCAGAUGCAGAGGAGAAGGCCGUGAACUUCCAGGCUGACCUGGCAGAUCUGACUUGUGAGAUAGAGAUCAAGCAGAAGCUGAUCGAUGAGCUAGAGAACAGCCAGCGGCGCCUGCAGACCCUCAAGCACCAGUACGAGGAGAAGCUGAUCCUGCUGCAGAACAAGAUUCGGGACACGCAGCUGGAGCGGGACCGGGUCCUGCAGAACCUCAGUACUAUGGAGUGCUACACAGAGGAGAAAGCCAACAAGAUCAAAGCAGACUAUGAGAAGCGGCUGAAGGAGAUGAACCGGGACCUGCAGAAGCUCCAGGCAGCCCAGAAGGAGCAUGCUCGCCUGCUCAAGAACCAGUCCCGCUACGAGCGGGAGCUGAGGAAGCUGCAGGCAGAGGUGACCGAGAUGAAGAAGGCAAAGGUGGCACUGAUGAAGCAGAUGCGGGAGGAGCAGCAGCGCAGACGUCUGGCAGAGACAAAGAGGAAUCGGGAGAUAGCACAGCUCAAGAAGGAGCAGCGGCGGCAGGAGUUUCAGAUCCGGGCUCUGGAGUCUCAGAAGCGGCAGCAGGAAAUAGUGCUGCGGAGGAAAACUCAGGAGGUCUCCGCGCUGCGCCGCCUCGCCAAGCCCAUGUCUGAUCGGGUGGCAGGCAGGACGAGCCAGAAGCCAGCCAUGCUGGACUCAGGCGCUGAGGUCUCGGCUAGCACCACAUCCUCUGAGCCUGAGUCUGGCGCUCGCUCCGUCUCCAGCAUUGUGCGCCAGUGGAACAGGAAGAUCAACAACUUCCUGGGAGACCCCUCAUCCCCUGUGAACGGGGCUCGGCCCCCCAGGAAGAAGUUCCCCAAGAAGGGGACGAGUCAGACCUUCAGCAAAGCCGCCCGCCUCAAGUGGCAGUCGCUGGAGCGGCGAAUCUUUGACAUCGUCAUGCAGAGAAUGACCAUCGUUAACCUGGAGGCUGACAUGGAGCGGCUCAUCAAGAAACGCGAGGAGCUGACCCUGCUGCAGGAAGCGUUGCUAGGCAAGAGGUCAAAACUGCAGGCAGAGAAUCCCAAGGGGCUGCAGGAGCUGAACGAGGAGAUCGAGGUGCUGGGGGCCAACAUUGACUACAUAAACGACAGCAUUUCUGACUGCCAGGCCACCAUCAUGCAGAUCGAGGAGACAAAGGAGGAGCUGGACUCCACAGACACCUCGGUGGUGAUCAGCUCCUGCUCCCUUGCCGAAGCCCGGCUCCUGCUGGACAACUUCCUGAAGGCCUCCAUCGACAAGGGGCUGCAGGUAGCACAGAAGGAGGCCCAGAUCCGCCUGCUGGAGGGGCGGCUGCGGCAGACAGACAUGGCCGGCUCCUCGCAGAACCACGCCAUCCUGGAUGCGCUGCGGGAGAAGGCCGAGUCGCACCCCGAGCUGCAGGCCCUGAUCCACAACGUCCAGCAAGAGAACGGCUACACCAGCACGGAUGAGGAGGUCUCAGAGUUCAGCCUGGCUUCAGAUGGGAGCGUCUCCCAGUCUUUCACCAUGAAGGGUUCAGCAAGCCAGGAUGACUUCAAGUUCAAGGGAGAGCCCAAGCUCUCGGGGCAGAUGAAGGCAGUGUCAGCUGAGUGUCUAGGACCCACGCUGGAUGUCUCCACCAAGAACAUCACCAAGUCCCUGGCAUCCCUCAUGGAGAUCAAAGAGGAUGGGAUCAGCUUCUCUGUCAGAGACCCCUAUUACAAGGAGAAAGUGUCACGCACCAUCAGCCUGCCCACACGAGGAAGCACCUUUCCCAGGCAGUCUCGUGGCUCGGACACUUCACCUCUGACCAGGAGGAAAUCCUACGACCGUGGCCAGCCUGCCAGGCCUCCAGACGUUGGCUUCACGCCUCCCUCAUCCCCACCUACCCGUCCACGCAAUGACCGCAAUGUCUUCUCUCGUCUCACGAGCAACCAGAGCCAAGGGUCUGCCCUGGACAAGUCUGAUGACAGCGAUUCCUCUGUCUCGGAGGUGCUGAGGGGUGUCAUUAACCCAGUGGGUGGCACCAAGAAUGCCCGGACAGCCCCGCUGCAAUGCGUCUCCAUGGCAGAAGGACACACAAAACCUGUGCUCUGCCUGGAUGCCACUGAUGAGCUGCUAUUCACUGGGUCCAAAGACCGAAGCUGCAAAAUGUGGAACCUGGUAACAGGCCAAGAAAUUGCUUCCCUCAAGGGUCACCCAAACAAUGUGGUUUCCAUCAAGUACUGCAGCCACACGGGGCUGGUGUUCACUGUGUCUACAUCAUACAUCAAAGUGUGGGACAUCCGGGACUCAGCCCGCUGCAUCCGCACCCUCACAUCUUCUGGACAGGUGAUCUCUGGGGAUGCCUGUGCUGGGACCAGCACCCGCAUGGUCACCAGUGUGCAGGGGGAGCACCAGAUCAACCAGAUUGCUCUGAACCCCAGUGGCACCAUGCUCUAUGCUGCCACUGGGAACUCCGUCCGCAUCUGGGAGCUGAGCAGGUUGCAGCCCAUCGGGAAGCUGAGUGGCCACAUCGGGCCUGUGAUGUGUCUCACAGUAAACCAGACGGCGAGCAACCACGACCUGGUGGUCACAGGCUCCAAAGAUCACUAUAUCAAGGUAUUUGAGAUUGCUGAGGGCAUGGUGGGCAAUAUUGGCCCCACUCACAACUUUGAGCCCCCUCACUACGAUGGCAUCGAGUGCCUGGCCAUCCAGGGAGACAUCCUCUUCAGCGGCUCCAGGGACAAUGGCAUAAAGAAGUGGGAUCUGGAGCAGCAGGAACUUAUCCAGCAAAUCCCCAAUGCCCACAAAGACUGGGUGUGUGCCCUGGCUUUCAUUCCCGGGCGCCCCAUGGUGCUGAGCGCUUGCCGAGGAGGCAUGAUCAAAGUGUGGAAUGUGGACACCUUCACCCCCAUUGGGGAGAUCAAGGGACACGACAGCCCCAUCAACGCCAUCUGCACCAACUCAAAGCACAUCUUCACUGCCUCCAGUGACUGCCGGGUAAAGUUAUGGAAUUACGUGCCUGGGCUCACCCCUUGCCUUCCACGACGCGUCCUUGCCAUAAAGGGCCGUGCUACUAGUCUGCCUUGACCCUUCUGCUCUUUCUCUCUUGCUCAUGCAGUCUUCUCCUGUCUUUUCUUCCCUUUUCUCUUUCUCUCCAUCUUUUUCUCCCUCUGUCUUUCUGUCGCUUGCUUUCACUCCUCUCUCCCUUCCCCUCUCUCUUUUUCUUCCCUUCUCUCUGAUCUGAGCUGCUUCUUCACGUGACUUGACAGUGAAGCUCUGGAGCGGGAGGAGGUUACCCACAGGGUCCAACUAGAAGCUGCAAAGACUGGAGGACAUAACAGGAGGGUGAAGGUCAAGGUACCUCUCCCUCACGAUCAAGACCUGGUCAUCUCUGGGAGCUCAGUCCAGGGAUAGGGAUUUGUUUGUGCAUGAUCCGGUGGGGCGGACGAUGCCCCGUCUGGUACUUUGACCACUACUAGCUCCUGUGAGAAGGCAGCUCCGCAGGGCAUCAUCAGCUCCACCUUCCCUCCCGUUGAGGUUUCUUCAUGGUUUUCCAGUGACCAUGAAGUAUUUCAGCUCUUUUCUCACCCACUCUGCUGUAAUGCCUGAUGGAAAUUGCAGGCAUCAGAGCUCCUUGGCUUCUUCUGAGACACCCCCUUGCCUCCAUGGGCUUAUGUGGCUUCCACCAUGAUGUGCUGCUUCUGUCCCUGUUGGCCAUGGGGCUGGUUCCUGCAGGAGUCUUUCUGCACUCCACAGCCACAAGGACAUUUGGUGUCUGCUGGACAGGACCACAGCAUAGAGGGGCUGUCUUUGGAGCCAUUACUUGUGGGACAGCCUCUCUGCUGUGGGCAGUCUGGAGAAGGAUUUCCAGGUAAUCCCAUCAUUCCACAUUCUCCAUCUACCUGUUCCCAGCAGUUGGAGGUGGGCACCUCUGAAUUCCUUUGCCGUGUCCCAGCUGUGGAUGUACAGCAAGCCUGGGAACAUCUCCAUCAGUCAACUUACAAACCUGCUGCAGUUCCCUUUGACGUUCUCUAAACUCCAGUCAUAAUUCCAGUCAUAAACUCAGCUGACCCAUGGCUCAUGGGCUCUUGCCCUAGUGCUCUGCAGUGGGGAAAGGCUGCUUAACCCUGCUCUUGACAACCUGGCCCUCAGCAGGGCUUCUGUGGUAGGUUCCUGCAGCAUGCUGACCCCCUUGAGAUAGAGAAACAAAGCAAGAACAGAGGUUACAGGGCAAAGAAGCCAAGGCUGGAUUCAUCACCAUCAUCCCUGUGAUUCAUCUUAUUCUGGAAGCUGUAAAUCCUUCCUCCAGGCUCUGCUCUUAGUCCUCUGCCUGGGAAGGACUAGCUCAGGUUUGGCCCAUUGGCCCCAUGGAUCUGGAAGCCAGAGAAGGCCAAGCCAAGGCAUGGAGCAGCCGGAGGAUGGGCCAGGUUGGCCUCAGCUGUGCCAGAAGCAGGGUGAGGAAGGGGCAGCACACACUCAUCUCACACAAGUCCCCUGAUUCACCCCUUGCUUGAAGGACAAUCCUGCAGUGGAUGAUCUUGCACAGUCCAAUCUCCAUGAAAAGCUGGGGACUCUGUUCAGGACUCUUUCCCCAGGGAUGUAGCUUCUGCAGGCUCCCUCCUCCUCUGGCUCCAGGGCAUGCAAGGCCUUGGUCUCACACUGGAGUUUUUCUCCAUCAGUCCUGUUGUAUCGUCUCCUGCUCUGUCCAGCCCUGGGCCAAGCAGGGCUUCUCCUGCCAUGGGCAAGGAGAACCUGGUGUUCUCUGUCACAGAAGAAGCAGCAUUUGAACUCAAAUUUAAGGAUUUCUUCAUGAGACCCCACCAGCAAUGAACUGGGAUCUCAGAGGCCACAGGAGGUUCAGGACCUGCCCCACAGACCAUUUUCCCUCUGCUUUUUCCAACCAUGGUGACUCUUGGACCACCCCCAGCUCGUUUUGGGGGAAAACCCCAUCCUACUGGCUUGCCUUUGUGGCGGGUGUGAUGCGUGUGUGUGUGUUGUGUAUGACCAUGCCCAGUUCAAUGAGCAGUCCCUGGUGAUCAUGUCUGAGCCCUGCAUUGAGGUGAGGAGCCCUCCUGCCAUGGCUGAUGGAGAAGUGAGUGUAAGGCACAGACAUGGGGGCUUCAGGAGGUGUCACCCUCCUUGGAAAGGGUUUUCCUGCUCAUUCCUGAGCUGGCGGAAGUUUUGCUUGGCUGGAAUGGGUGGUGUGGAUGUGUGUAUUUGGGCAGAGAUGUGUGUUUGAGUGUCUGUAAUUGGGUGUACCAUAUGCAUCAAUGUCUGCAUCAAUGUCUGCACCAAGAUCUGCCAGUGCCUGAUGUGGAACCUCUCACUGCUCCCUGCUGAAGUCGAUGAAGGAACCUGCUCUUGGGGGACUCUUGGAGUCAGACCUUUCCUUUCACAACCAGUGUCUUCUUGUGUGUAGGCUGCAAGUGCCUGCUUUAUUUCCCAAGGCUGAGUGCUCAAUCCUGCCUGAUGCUGAGCAUCCACCUCGCUGCUGCAUCCAGGAGCACGUUGAGGGGGCCUCAAGGCUUUUGCAGCCUGCAGGUGCUGCAGCACAGCAGCAAGUGACUGGAUAGGGGGUCUCUGAGGAGAGGGAUAACUGUGAUCCUAUAGCUGUGUGUGUGUGUGUUUUAGUAUCUGUGUGGGCUGGUAUUUCUCAUGCACAAGAGCAUUUCUCGGGUGUUGAUCUGGUUUAGCUACCUCACGGUGCAAGCUGGGUGCUGUUGUCACUGGGUUUGUGUUGGGAAUGGGGUGGGGAGUGUGGGUG
This is an RNA transcript of Pezoporus occidentalis (night parrot), 7651 nucleotides long. It is a transcript of the gene named kinesin family member 21B, with no coding region annotated. Lineage: Eukaryota; Metazoa; Chordata; Aves; Psittaciformes; Psittacidae. The record is from RefSeq and is a predicted model, not a curated record. The transcript has 36 exons.